GUAGGUAUAGUUUAAGAAAAAUAUUAGAUUGUGAUUCUAAAGACAGGGGUUAAAGUCCCCUUACCCACC
Molecule: transfer RNA, 69 nt
Filed under: Sebastes paucispinis (bocaccio)
Lineage: Eukaryota; Metazoa; Chordata; Actinopteri; Perciformes; Sebastidae
Also listed under: 1 other name
Description: tRNA-His
Rfam family: tRNA
About the family: Transfer RNA (tRNA) molecules are approximately 80 nucleotides in length. Their secondary structure includes four short double-helical elements and three loops (D, anti-codon, and T loops). Further hydrogen bonds mediate the characteristic L-shaped molecular structure. tRNAs have two regions of fundamental functional importance: the anti-codon, which is responsible for specific mRNA codon recognition, and the 3' end, to which the tRNAs corresponding amino acid is attached (by aminoacyl-tRNA synthetases). tRNAs cope with the degeneracy of the genetic code in two manners: having more than one tRNA (with a specific anti-codon) for a particular amino acid; and 'wobble' base-pairing, i.e. permitting non-standard base-pairing at the 3rd anti-codon position.
Source: RNAcentral